This 26-nucleotide non-coding RNA is filed under the name Mus musculus (house mouse). The record is from RNAcentral. Lineage: Eukaryota; Metazoa; Chordata; Mammalia; Rodentia; Muridae.
UGAUAAGUACUUGUCUUAGGUUCCCA